CAACCAUUACGCCAGCAUCCUAGCCGAAGCGCGGACCUCAGUCCCGGCUGGCCGUAUUACACCCUGGGCUAUAACACCUCCACCGAAGUGGAGGCCACAUUCCCAGAGCCUUUAUCCGGCCGCCGAAACUGAUGCUGGCCUGUCCAAACUGAGUAAACCGGUCAGAAGACCGGCCGAACAGUUUAAACAAGUCUGAUUGCAAGCGCUUCCCUUUCAACAAUUUCACGUGCUUUUUAACUCUCUUUCCAAAGUGCUUUUCAUCUUUCGAUCACUCUACUUGUGCGCUAUCGGUCUCUCGCCAAUAUUUAGCUUUAGAAGAAAUUUACCUCCCAUUUAGAGCUGCAUUCCCAAACAACUCGACUCGUCGAAGGAGAUUUACAUAGGGUGCCAUUUCCUGUCACAUACGGGAUUCUCACCCUCUAUGACGUCCUGUUCCAAGGAACUUAGACAGGCGGCUUCCCCAAAUCAUCCUCUACAAAUUACAAUGCGAACCCGAAGGCUAGCUUUCAAAUUUGAGCUGUUGCCGCUUCACUCGCCGUUACUAGGGCAAUCCC
RNAcentral lists this ribosomal RNA (554 nucleotides) under Aureobasidium proteae. RNAcentral's name for it is "partial 26S ribosomal RNA". The record is from RNAcentral. Lineage: Eukaryota; Fungi; Ascomycota; Dothideomycetes; Dothideales; Saccotheciaceae.